RNAcentral lists this long non-coding RNA (1726 nucleotides) under Helianthus annuus (common sunflower). Its description in RNAcentral is "hypothetical non coding rna". The record is from RNAcentral. Lineage: Eukaryota; Viridiplantae; Streptophyta; Magnoliopsida; Asterales; Asteraceae.
UUUCUUUCUUCUUCUCUCUAUACGUUGGUGUUCUAACCAAUAAUCACCGAUGCGAUGUUCUGUCCGAUCGAUUCAUGAACCAACUAACGGAUGCCAAAGUAUUGUAUUUUGUGAGUUCGUUAAAACGGAUGCCAAAAUGCUGUCUAAACAAGACUAUACUUUGUGAAUUUCGUUAAGGUUCGAAUCUCGUGACUACCGUUAAGGUUUGAUUUGGGUUUUACACACAUACGUAUUCCAUUCUGUUAAACUAUAUGUUUAACCAUCCGAAUACUCCCAACUAUACGCUUACAAUCAAAAUUGAUGCUUAAUCAUCAGAAGAUCCAAAAUAAUAAAAAUGACUCACAAACUGUGAGAAAAGAGAAUGGACUCACUUUGCAGAUUUAAUGAGCAGAGUAUAAGCCUACUGAUUUAGCCUUGGUUAACCCUGAUUUUAAAUAAUAAUGCACACAAACUGGGUUAGUAACUAAUACAGCAGUUACGACAAUUCACGAGAUUAAACCCUCACAACGAUUAACAAAGUGCAAUACUUAACAAUUCAGCGGAUUCACAACGAAUGACAGAGUAUAGUCCGAGUUCGGACAGCACUCAAACAUUCAAGUCGAAAUCAUGAUGAAUAACAAAGUAUAAACUCAAUUUGAGCAGCACUUAAUCAUACGUUGGAUAGUUUCAAUCGAUCGGACAUUGAAUCGUAAUAGCGAUCGAGUUAUUACCCUGAUUGCGGCAGCGAUUUGUGAAUCGUGUGUGUUUAGGACUGAUUCUACGAUACCUCAGUGUAGAAUUAGAGUUUGGAGGUUGAAUUAAAGCAGAAUGUCAAGUCCCAGACCCGACUAUUUAUACCCAGAAGAUCGCCCCCUCGCGCCACGCGAAAGGUCUCCCUGUGCGCGUCGCGUGGCGCGAGAGACCCUAAUCUAGCUGAUGUGUUGAAAAAUACACAUAUUAGUCCCAUGUAAAGUGUAUGAUUAUUGUAUAGUUUUUAUUUGUUUUAUUUAGUUUUUAGGGUUAUAUUAUAUUAUUUUGUGUUUUGGCAGGUACUGGUGCAAAUGAAGCAAAAACGAGUAAUAUGAAAAUAACCAGCCAGUUGGGUAGAAUGGGGUGCUAGGGACCGAAUUGAAAUUGCCACUAUUUUUCUGUGAUUGGAUCGAGCCUACUUAUCACUAUAUUAUUAUUACUAUGGGAGGCCAUAUAUGAAUUAGUUAAAAAAAAGAUAAAAGAUGACUGAUGGGAUUACAUCAUUCGAAAAGAAGUUGCCAUCAUUUUAUUAUAUGAAUUGAUUGAAUAUUGUAUACACGACAGAAGGGUUGAUAUAUUUGCAAAGGAGGAGACAAAUAAGGAGGCUGCAUAUUUUAUUUUGGGGGUGAAGAAAACCCGGCUAUUAUGUGUGGAUGAAUUGGGCCAAGCCCAUAUGAGUUGUAGAGUGGACGAACGAAAAAAAAAAGAACAGGAAUAUAUAUUCGAUGGGUUGAGUUCGAUAAAAGGAGGAUAGUUUCGAGGGUUAGAAGACAGUAGACGGCAGCAAGCAAUUUAGGAAGUUAGACGGCUGAACAGUUCGACGAACAAGCAGGCUGCGAUCAAGAGAAGAAAAGAAAGGAUUGGUUCGAGCUUCAAGCCGCGAUCAAGUUUCAAUUUUUCGGUUUUUUUAUUUUUUUUUAUUUUGACUCAAUUCUACCUACAAAGACGUAGUCUCCCAUCCCCACACUUAAAAUUUACAUUGUCCCCAAUGUAGGAU